RNAcentral lists this ribosomal RNA (335 nucleotides) under uncultured Synergistaceae bacterium. RNAcentral describes it as "bacterial SSU rRNA". It matches the Rfam family "Bacterial small subunit ribosomal RNA", at positions 1046 to 1382 of the family's 1533-position model. The record is from RNAcentral. Lineage: Bacteria; Thermotogati; Synergistota; Synergistia; Synergistales; Synergistaceae.
UGGCUGUCGUCAGCUCGUGUCGUGAGAUGUUGGUUAAGUCCGCACGAGCGCAACCCCUGCAUUCAGUUGCCAUCGGGUAAUGCCGGGCACUCUGGAAGGACUGCCAUCGACAAGAUGGAGGAAGGUGGGGAUGACGUCAAGUCAUCAUGGCCCUUAUGUCCAGGGCGACACACGUGCUACAAUGGCCGGCACAACGGGAAGCGAGUUCGCGAGGACGAGCGGAUCCCUCAAAGCCGGUCGCAGUUCGGAUUGAAGUCUGCAACUCGACUUCAUGAAGCUGGAAUCGCUAGUAAUCGUGGAUCAGCCAAGCCGCGGUGAAUACGUUCCCGGGCCUU